This 250-nucleotide ribosomal RNA is filed under the name uncultured bacterium. Its description in RNAcentral is "partial 16S ribosomal RNA". It matches the Rfam family "Bacterial small subunit ribosomal RNA", at positions 524 to 776 of the family's 1533-position model. The record is from RNAcentral.
UACGUAGGGUGCAAGCGUUAAUCGGAAUUACUGGGCGUAAAGCGUGCGCAGGCGGUUGUGCAAGACAGAUGUGAAAUCCCCGGGCUCAACCUGGGAACUGCGUUUGUGACUGUAUGACUAGAGUACGGUAGAGAGGGUGGAAUUCCUGGUGUAGCAGUGAAAUGCGUAGAUAUCAGGAGGAACAUCGAUGGCGAAGGCAGCCCCUUGGACCUGUACUGACGCUCAUGCACGAAAGCGUGGGAGCAACAGG